Molecule: ribosomal RNA, 442 nt
Filed under: uncultured bacterium
Lineage: Bacteria
Description: bacterial SSU rRNA
Rfam family: Bacterial small subunit ribosomal RNA
Source: RNAcentral
AACGCGAAGAACCUUACCUACACUUGACAUCCUCGGAAUCUUGCAGAAAUGUGAGAGUGCCUUCGGGAACCGAGAGACAGGUGCUGCAUGGCUGUCGUCAGCUCGUGUCGUGAGAUGUUGGGUUAAGUCCCGUAACGAGCGCAACCCUUGUCCUUAGUUGCCAGCGGGUUAUGCCGGGAACUUUAGGGAGACUGCCGGUGACAAACCGGAGGAAGGUGGGGAUGACGUCAAGUCAUCAUGGCCUUUAUGUGUAGGGCUACACACGUGCUACAAUGGGAAGUACAAAGGGUUGCCAACCCGCAAGGGGGAGCCAAUCUCAAAAAACUUUUCGUAGUCCGGAUUGGAGUCUGCAACUCGACUCCAUGAAGUUGGAAUCGCUAGUAAUCGCGAAUCAGAAUGUCGCGGUGAAUACGUUCCCGGGCCUUGUACACACCGAGACGAC